This 301-nucleotide ribosomal RNA is filed under the name uncultured bacterium. Its description in RNAcentral is "partial 16S ribosomal RNA". It matches the Rfam family "Bacterial small subunit ribosomal RNA", at positions 509 to 807 of the family's 1533-position model. The record is from RNAcentral.
CAGCAGCCGCGGUAAUACGAAGGGGGCUAGCGUUGCUCGGAAUGACUGGGCGUAAAGGGCGCGUAGGCGGAUUGUUUAGUUAGGCGUGAAAUUCCUGGGCUUAACCUGGGGACUGCGCUUAAUACAGGCAGUCUAGAGUGAGGAAGAGGGUUGUGGAAUUCCCAGUGUAGAGGUGAAAUUCGUAGAUAUUGGGAAGAACACCGGUGGCGAAGGCGGCGACCUGGUCCUUGACUGACGCUGAGGCGCGAAAGCGUGGGGAGCAAACAGGAUUAGAUACCCCCGUAGUCCCUGUCUCUUAUAC